This 106-nucleotide small nuclear RNA is filed under the name Dasypus novemcinctus (nine-banded armadillo). Lineage: Eukaryota; Metazoa; Chordata; Mammalia; Cingulata; Dasypodidae. The record is from RNAcentral.
GUGCUCACUUCAGCAGCACAUAUAGUAAAAACUGGAAUGAUACAGAGAAGAUUAAUAUGGCCCCUGCACAAAAGAUGACUUGCAAAGAGAAAGGCCACAAGCAACA